This 253-nucleotide ribosomal RNA is filed under the name uncultured bacterium. Its description in RNAcentral is "partial 16S ribosomal RNA". It matches the Rfam family "Bacterial small subunit ribosomal RNA", at positions 524 to 776 of the family's 1533-position model. The record is from RNAcentral.
UACGUAGGGACCGAGCGUUGUCCGGAUUCAUUGGGCGUAAAGAGCUCGUAGGCGGCCACUCAAGUCGAAUGUGAAACCUCGAGGCUUAACCUCGAGCCUGCAUUCGAUACUGGGCGGCUAGAGUCUGGUAGGGGGAUCUGGAAUUCCUGGUGUAGCGGUGGAAUGCGCAGAUAUCAGGAGGAACACCGGUGGCGAAGGCGGGAUCCUGGGCCAGUACUGACGCUGAGAAGCGAAAGCAUGGGGAGCGAACAGG